GAGGCAGGACCAAUCCUGGAUAGGAUGGGGCGUACCCUACAAAGCUCAGUUAGAGAUAUAGAGCAAUUUCGUCCACGAGUUAGGGACCCCGAGACGCGGAGCUUCCUUGAGCGAUUGUCAAAUCGGCUUCGCCGUGCGGCUGCUCGUUGUGGUUGCAGGACUGCCACGACGCGAGACGUGCACGUUCCAUCUCUGCGCGAAGGAGGCGUCGGUACGUCCAGCCAAGGCCCC
This is a long non-coding RNA of Setaria italica (foxtail millet), 231 nucleotides long. RefSeq lists it as uncharacterized. Lineage: Eukaryota; Viridiplantae; Streptophyta; Magnoliopsida; Poales; Poaceae. The record is from RefSeq and is a predicted model, not a curated record. The transcript has 3 exons.